Pelobates cultripes (western spadefoot toad) is the source of this 250-nucleotide non-coding RNA. The record is from the annotation of a GenBank genome assembly. Lineage: Eukaryota; Metazoa; Chordata; Amphibia; Anura; Pelobatidae.
GGUUGUCUCUUCCCUCUGCACGGUGCACUGCCGCUGGGGAGAGAGGUCGCUGCUCUCCUCUCCCUGUAACUCAGGCUGCCGCUGGGGAGGGAGGUCGAUGCUCUCCGCUCCCUGUAACUCACUCUGUCGCUGGAGACAGGGUGUCCAUAUCCCCAUCCUCCACAGGUUGCACUCAAAGUCCCGUGCUGCUUGGUUGUCAGCACUCAACUGGCGCAUCACUCGAUGAGCCACAUCAUUUGAAGGGUUCGGG